UACAGAGGGUGCGAGCGUUGUCCGGAAUCACUGGGCGUAAAGGGCGCGUAGGCGGAUGGCACAGUCAGAUGUGAAAUUCCCGGGCUUAACCUGGGGGCUGCAUUUGAUACGUGUUGUCUUGAGUUCGGAAGAGGGUCGUGGAAUUCCCAGUGUAGAGGUGAAAUUCGUAGAUAUUGGGAAGAACACCGGUGGCGAAGGCGGCGACCUGGUCCGACACUGACGCUGAGGCGCGAAAGCGUGGGGAGCAAACAGG
This 253-nucleotide ribosomal RNA is filed under the name uncultured bacterium. RNAcentral's name for it is "partial 16S ribosomal RNA". It matches the Rfam family "Bacterial small subunit ribosomal RNA", at positions 524 to 776 of the family's 1533-position model. The record is from RNAcentral.